UAACGCGUGAGUAACCUGCCUCUAAGAGGGGAAUAACAUUCCGAAAAGAAUGCUAAUACCGCAUAACAUAUAUUUAUCGCAUGGUAGAUAUAUCAAAGAUUUAUCGCCUAGAGAUGGACUCGUGUCCGAUUAGUUAGUUGGUGGGGUAACGGCUCACCAAGACUGCGAUCGGUAGCCGGACUGAGAGGUUGAACGGCCACAUUGGGACUGAGACACGGCCCAG
RNAcentral lists this ribosomal RNA (223 nucleotides) under uncultured bacterium. Its description in RNAcentral is "partial 16S ribosomal RNA". It matches the Rfam family "Bacterial small subunit ribosomal RNA", at positions 111 to 334 of the family's 1533-position model. The record is from RNAcentral.